Aspergillus melleus is the source of this 72-nucleotide non-coding RNA. The record is from the annotation of a RefSeq genome assembly. NCBI's taxonomy places the organism in Eukaryota, Fungi, Ascomycota, Eurotiomycetes, Eurotiales, Aspergillaceae.
AGCAUGUUAGCUCAGGGGAAGAGCGCCGGGCUCAUAACCCGGAGGACCCUAGAUCGAAACUAGGACAUGCUA